Bos taurus (domestic cattle) is the source of this 738-nucleotide long non-coding RNA. NCBI's taxonomy places the organism in Eukaryota, Metazoa, Chordata, Mammalia, Artiodactyla, Bovidae. The record is from Ensembl.
GACAGCUGGUCCAAGCGUCCCUGCUGGAUGCAACGAUGUCAAGAGGAAGAAAAGGACAUACUCUUGUGAUAUCCCCUUUUUAGGAGGAAGAGAAUAUUUUCCAGGAGCUUCCAGCCCUUUUACAUCUCAUUGACCAGAAGACUGGGAUGGUUACAUACUCAACCUUAAAAUAAUCUUUAACAAGGGGAAGUUGAUAACCACAGACUUCAGCACUUCAAGAAGAAUCUCCAAGUAGAAUAGAAUUGCUAUGCAACAACUGCUGGUGUCUGGGUGGUGAGGGAUGGUCUGCCAUCCCAAUUGCCUUGGAGAUCUCAUCCUGGCUCUGGCCUGGUCCUUGCCCUGUGGUGGGUAGCUUGGGUGGAUUCUUUACCAGCUGAGCCACAAGGGAAGCCCAGGAAUACUGGAGUGAGAAACCUUUCCCUUCUCCAGUGGAUCUUCCCAAUCCAGGAAUUGAACUGGGGUCUCCUGCAUUGCAGGUGGAUUCUUUACCGACGGAGCUAUGAGGGAAGCCUUCUGUUAUAAAAGAUACUUCAAUUAACACCAUUGACUAAUAUUCUAGAAUAAAGCUUACUUAUCACUGUCUGAAUUUACCUUGUUUGUUUAUUCGGUUACUUGCAUGUAGCCUUACACGCCCCUGGGAUAUGGAGCAGGGGUUUGUCUCUUGUUUCUCAUUAUAACACUAGCACCCAGGACAGUGAAUAUUAUCUGCUGUUAUUACUAGGAACUCUUGACAUUUCC